Long non-coding RNA from Lineus longissimus, 1883 nucleotides. RefSeq lists it as uncharacterized. The record is from RefSeq and is a predicted model, not a curated record. The transcript is spliced from 2 exons. Lineage: Eukaryota; Metazoa; Nemertea; Pilidiophora; Heteronemertea; Lineidae.
CGAAAAGCGAACAUAUCUGCACCGGCACGCGCGACCCACCCGAGUAGCUUGUAACCAAAUCACAAAAGUAUCGCGUCAGAUGCGAGUAAAUAUUCCAUUUACCAGCAUCACACUGAAACUGGUACAAGAAAUCACAGCUUAAUCUCGACCAAUCAGUGCACCGUCCGUUGAUGACGCAAAAACUCUCGACCAAUCAGGAUUAGCGAAGUCGGUUGAAGGGAUUUUCUGAAACGCGGAGGUGGCAGUUUUGACUUUUCUGCGGACUGACGACCAGAAAACGCGACGCUUAUAAAUUUGUUCACUCACAGUUCGAGCUCCCUUAGACACCAGCCACUUUUUGCGGAAAGCUACCCUUACGAGUUUUAAAAUUCAUCCAAGAAUUAUGGAUUCCAGGCGGUUUACUCUGGCUGUUGUACUUAUCUUAGGAAUGGUCUGCGGCUCGCUUGGACGGGCCUGGCUCAAUGAUGAGGGUACUCGCGGAGAAAGACUUCCACAACUCCUAAAAGAAUGGCUUGAUGACUCAUACCUCCGACAGGUGGCAGCACAGCAAGAGCUAAAAAGGGACGAGGGUGUCAGCAAAAGACAGAAGUCAGUGGAUCGGCAGUGCCUUGUCAACCUCGUCGCCUGCUACGGCAAGAGGAGGAGGAGGUAGAGGUCCUAACCUUCACCUUUGACCUUUUUUUUACAAUGGAUGAAAAAAACGUGAAUGUUGUGCCGAAUGAUGCAAGUUCUGAUCGCGUUCAAAGCCCUUUCUUACAUAUACGAUAUCCGCUUGGAAAGAGAUAAUUCGACGAAGGAAGUGUACGGACCGGAAAUCUACCACUCGAUGUUAACGUACCGAAAGUAUACGUUACAUGUCAACACGUGCCGAUAAACCGAGAGGAAUGAUGCAGGUCUAAUAGGCUACAUAUAAUGUAAUUCAUCAAACAGAAAACGCGGAAAACAAAAUGCUGUGCACUGCUGACUUCCAACAACUAGAAGUAAUGCGCUGUGGGUAGAGUACUACUCUUGCACGGUGUCACCUAAAGCCGGUCAACUAUGACACCGGCUGCCCAGGGCUGUGUGACAUUACUAUUUGUGAUCACACUAUUACAGUUUAGUGACAAGAGGUCAGCUAAGUACCUUUGGCCAGAUCUGCCUGAAAAAAACUAUCGACGUCGAAUCGCCCUUUUUUUAAGGUAUUUUGAAGCGACAUGUGCCGGCUGAUUCAAACCAAGGCGAAACUGAACUCUCGAACAGUGAUAUGACGUUAUUUUGCCCCGUAAAUGACAACGCAGUAGAAAUAAUUCACCCCUAGCCCCAAUACACGGUUUAUUGUCUUUUAACAACGCCCGCUGGCACCUACCCUAAACUCUCAUUGUCCUAGUGCAAGGGUCAUCGGGGCAAGUCUUGAUAUCAUCGACCCCCUUGAAACAGCUUUCACGGGGGUAGAUAAACCGAACCUGGCAAGGACAGAGAAACGUAUUAGAUCCUCAUGUACAUUAGCGUGCUUACUCAAAAUUCACCAAUCUAAGAUCGUUGUGGAAUAUUCAUGAAACCGGCAAUACCAUACACAUGGUUGGUUGAUGCCAUUUAACAAGUUCAAUAUGGCAAAACAACUAUCAAUGGCUUGUCGACUCCAGAGUCUUUCAAAUAAAUUUCAUUUGAGAGACUCUGUCGACACAAAGUUUUUUGAUAGUCAUGACGUCAUGUUAUCACUUGACAUUUGUCAUCAAGGAGGUUGUCUUUGAUCGGCGAAAGAGGAGUUUAUGAACUGUUCAUAAAUGGUUUUGAGCAUAAUCAGUGCGAAAAAAAAGUAAACUUAUUUCUAAAGUUUGCAUCAUUUGGACGGGAUGUAAUUUUCAUAAAUGUAAAUAAAAGGUGUUUAAUGUUUAUAAAAAUAA